GAUGAACGCUGGCGGCGUGCCUAAUACAUGCCAGUCGAGCGAACGGACGAGAAGAUUGCUUCUCUGAUGUUAGCGGCGGACGGGUGAGUAACACGUGGAUAACCUACCUAUAAGACUGGGAUAACUUCGGGAAACCGGAGCUAAUACCGGAUAAUAUUUUGGACCGCAUGGUUCAAAAGUGAAAGACGGUCUUGCUGUCACUUAUAGAUGGAUCCGCGCUGCAUUAGCUAGUUGGUAAGGUAACGGCUUACCAAGGCAACGAUGCAUAGCCGACCUGAGAGGGUGAUCGGCCACACUGGAACUGAGACACGGUCCAGACUCCUACGGGAGGCAGCAGUAGGGAAUCUUCCGCAAUGGGCGAAAGCCUGACGGAGCAACGCCGCGUGAGUGAUGAAGGUCUUCGGAUCGUAAAACUCUGUUAUUAGGGAAGAACAUAUGUGUAAGUAACUGUGCACAUCUUGACGGUACCUAAUCAGAAAGCCACGGCUAACUACGUG
Molecule: ribosomal RNA, 497 nt
Filed under: uncultured bacterium
Lineage: Bacteria
Description: partial 16S ribosomal RNA
Rfam family: Bacterial small subunit ribosomal RNA
Source: RNAcentral